UAGGGAAUAUUGCACAAUGGGCGAAAGCCUGAUGCAGCAACGCCGCGUGCGCGAUGACGGCCUUCGGGUUGUAAAGCGCUUUUCGGGGAGAUGAGGAAGGACAGUAUCCCCGGAAUAAGGCUCGGCUAACUACGUGCCAGCAGCCGCGGUAACACGUAGGAGCCAAGCGUUAUCCGAAUUCACUGGGCGUAAAGCGCGUGUAGGCGGCUUGGUAAGUUGGAUGUGAAAGCUCCUGGCUUAACUGGGAGAGGUCGUUCAAAACUGCCGAGCUAGAGUGCGGGAGAGGGAGGUGGAAUUCCGGGUGUAGUGGUGAAAUGCGUAGAUAUCCGGAGGAACACCAGUGGCGAAAGCGGCCUCCUGGUCCGCAACUGACGCUCAGACGCGAAAGCUAGGGUAGCAAACG
RNAcentral lists this ribosomal RNA (403 nucleotides) under uncultured bacterium. Its description in RNAcentral is "bacterial SSU rRNA". It matches the Rfam family "Bacterial small subunit ribosomal RNA", at positions 355 to 774 of the family's 1533-position model. The record is from RNAcentral.